This is a long non-coding RNA of Hydra vulgaris (swiftwater hydra), 1418 nucleotides long. RefSeq lists it as uncharacterized. The record is from RefSeq and is a predicted model, not a curated record. NCBI's taxonomy places the organism in Eukaryota, Metazoa, Cnidaria, Hydrozoa, Anthoathecata, Hydridae.
UUUAGUUUGUAAUUAUUUCUUAAUAAGAAAUUCUUAUCAAUUUUACUUUAAGGGAGGCAUUGUUGUCUUUUCUGUUAUGCGACAGCAAGUGAAAUGAAAUGUGGUAAACAUGAAAAUCCUGAAAUAAAAGAUCGUACCUUGGAAGAUUUAUUUUCUGAUCAUAAAAAAUUUAUAGAAAGUGGAGGCUUAAAGAAAAAUGUUAAGAAUUUUUGACAAUGUUAUUGAAAAACCAAUUUUGAAAAUACCCCUUGAUCAAGUAUCUUUACCUAGUCUCCACAUGGCUCUUGGUAUUUAUUUAAAUUUUUUUAAUUUGUUUGAAGAAGAAGUGCAUUAGCUGGAUAUUUUAAUUGCUGCAGAAACAUUAAAAAGCAACAUUAAUUUUUCAGAAGAAUAUACAGUUUUUGUAUCAAAACAAAAACAGCUGUUAAAUCUACAAGCUGAAAUUCUUAAACUUGACGAUCAAAUCCAUUUAAUCAAUGAUGUUGUUUUGUUAGCAGCUGUUAACAAUUCUGAUAGUUUUGAAAAUAUUCAAUCUCUAUACUUCACAGAAAUUGAUUUGCUUAAUAGUGAAAAAGCAAAAAAGACGACUCUAUAUAAUACUCUGCUUGGAAAGCAAUCAUUAGGGUUGGACCAGAGUCCAUGCACAAAAAUGAUCGAGACUAUACUGCAAAAGCUGAAAGUACAACGUCAAGCGUAUUACAGAAAAAAUUUUGUGGGAAACCAUGUGCAUAAAAUGCUAAAAAAAUCUUCAAUACUUCAGCUAUGUAACUGUAUACCGAAGCUUGUUCAUAAAGAAGGAUAUUCAGGAACAAACGUGCACCUGUUAGCAGUUGAUAUUAGCAAUAAAUAUAAACAACUAUUUGAUAAAUUUGCCUAGUGCUACAAAAUAUUUUCUUCAAGAAGUAUAGUUACACCAGAAGAUUUAAUUCUUUUAAAAAAAAAUAUAAAAAGUUUAAUGCAAUUUUAUCGUGCGAAUUGGCCCGAGGCUUCAGUUACACCUAAGUUGCAUAUGUUAGAACAUCAUGCUGUUCCGUUUUUGAAGAAAUGGGGAGCGGGAUUCGGCUUUUAUGGAGAACAAGGCGGAGAAUCGAUCCAUAUGGAGUUUAACAAACUCAAAACUAUUUAUCAAUCGAUUCCUUGCCCGACAAUCCGAUUAAAAAGUAUUCUCAAAUCUCAUUAUCAAAAAACUAACCCAGAGAAUAUUCGUCUUAAGCCCCCUGUGAAAAAAAGAAUAUUUAGUAAGAAAGUUCCUAAAUGAUUUCGCCAAGAAAGGAGUAUCGAUUUAUCGAUCAUCUUAUUCAUACAAUAUGUGUAACAAUUAAAAGCCUCCGAAAGAAGAACAAAGAAAAACGGCUAUUUUCAUAGCCACAAACAUAUUAAAAGCAUUAUUUAGUAUAAAAUAAAUUUUAAUCGGCGGU